AUGAUCUCUCUUUCUUGCUGUUUUUUUUUUUUUUUUUUUUUUCUUGUAGUAACAGUUUGCAAUACAGAGCAAACCAUUCUUUUGCUGUGGCUUAUUAAAGAGAUGAACAGCUGGAUAUUAGGAAUAACUCUGGACAUACCUGUUUCAAGUGAACAAAAGCAAACAAAUACAGAAGUCUGUAACCCAAUAUAUUCUCAAAAGAACAAUUUAUAUUAUAUAUGUAUUCCAGUAAGUAUAUAUUUUUCCCUUGAAAAGUGCUAUGUAGUUAAAAAAAUAACAUAAUUUAAAAAAACGGGGCAUGGUUAUGUCCAACAAGUAUAUGUUGAGCACUAUAACAUGUAAUGUGCUAUUGAUAGAAAUAUGAAUGACCAGAUUUUUUUUCCUCUGGUAAAACUUGGUUGGAGAUGAAUAUUUGAAGGGAUCAUUUCAAUACAGUGUUGUACAUGAAAAAUAGUAUUUACAGAGAUGUUAAAGCUAAUGGACUUUGGAGCCAGACUAAUUGAAUUUGGAUUCUCAGCUUUGUAACUGAGUAGCUGUGUGGUCUUCGGCAAAUUAAUUAACCUUUCUGUGUUUCUAUUUCAUUAUACAUAAAGGAAUAAUGAUAUUAACUACUUUAUAUGGUGGUUGCCUGGAUUACAUAAUUAAUGUAAAUUACAUGUUUAGCCUAGAGUCAGAAUUAUAUUGUUAACCAAAUAUAAUUUAUCAUUGUGAUUAGUGGUGCCAGGAUUAGUGAGAAAGUUUAGGGAUGACUUCCUUGAAAGCUCUCUUGCAGAGAUGAUUCUGGCUCUUGAAGACUAAAUAAAACCUCUCUAAAUGAAGAAAGGGAUUGUAGAAAAAUCCAGGAAUGGAGAGGAAUGAGCAGUUGACAAGGUUAUGAUGUUAUAAUCUUGAAGUAUUAUCAGUUUUUUUGCCAUGGAAUUUAAGGUAUAAGGAGGAGAGUGGAAUAAGGAACACUAAGGAGAUAAGCAGGAACUUUAUCAUGAAGAGAUUUGUAUGUCCCUCAAAGGAGAUUUGACUUGUAUUUCCCUCAAAGGAGAUUUGACUUUACCUUGUAAGUGAUGGAUAUAAAUUAAAAGUGUUUUUUUAAAAAAGGGGAGUGAGGGGUACCUGGCUGGCUCAGCUGGAAAAGCUUGUGACUCUUGAUUUUGGGUUUGUGAGCUUGAGCCCCAUGUUGGGUGUAGAGAUUACUAAAAACCAAACAAACAAACCAAAAAAUAAGAGAUGCACCUCAGUCAGUUAAGCAGCUGAAUCUUUUUUUUUUUUUUUUUUUUUUUUUUGAAUCUUGAUUUUGGCUCAGGUCAAGAUCUCACGGUCAUGAGAUUGAGCCUUGCAUUGCAGCAGGGUCUGUGUUGGGUGUGGAGCCUGCCUCUCUCUCCUGCCUCCCCCCUCAUUCCAUGCACAUAGUCUCUCUCAUUCUCUCUCUGAAAAAAAUAAAAAAUAAAAUAAAACAGAGUGAACUGAUUAGAUUGGGUUUUGUGUAAGUCUCUCUGGGUGCAGUAGAUUGAGAGAAAUAAGAUGGAAGGCAGAAAACAGUUUAUGAGGCUAUUGAAAAUAUCACUGGAUAAUAUAGAUUAAAUUGUUUGAUUGUAAUAAGGAUUAAUUUACAGGUCUGUUUUUGAAACAAUAUCACUUUGUGUUUUAAAAUUUAAAUGAGAAGAAAAAGAUACUACUACAGGUGAACCAGUUCUCAUGGGAACAGUGUAAAUGGAAGAAAAAGUUGACAUUUUUCCUGAUAUUUCCCAGAAAAAAGUUGACUGCAUAUAUAACCAUUACAAUGACUUCUGUGUGUUUUUGUAAGAAGUCUGUAAAUAUCCUAUGUGAUAAUUAUAUACAUAGAGGCAUAUGACAUCAUUUCUUCCCUUUUCUACCUUGUAAUAAUAGGAGUAGUAACAGUGGUGGCAGCAGUAGUGUUCUUAUAACUUAUUUGGUAAGGAG
Molecule: long non-coding RNA, 1935 nt
Filed under: Canis lupus familiaris (dog)
Lineage: Eukaryota; Metazoa; Chordata; Mammalia; Carnivora; Canidae
Description: lncRNA (ENSCAFG00040020335.1)
Source: RNAcentral